This 603-nucleotide small RNA is filed under the name Volvulina pringsheimii. Its description in RNAcentral is "eukaryotic LSU rRNA". The stretch from base 215 to 368 matches the Rfam family "5.8S ribosomal RNA". Lineage: Eukaryota; Viridiplantae; Chlorophyta; Chlorophyceae; Chlamydomonadales; Volvocaceae. The record is from RNAcentral.
AAUCUAUCAAAUCCACACAAUACACGUGAACUACUAUGUUGACCAUCCGUGAAAACGGAUUGGGUUGGAGGCAGGUUACACUGUUUCCAGCCCAGGCGUUAGUGCCUGCAUUCUGCAGACACUGGCUUCGGUCUUUUCUAACUACUAACCAACACAUAACUGAAUAACUAAAUCCGAACAUACGGCUAAGAGUCGAAUGUUCAAUAACCAAGACAACUCUCAACAACGGAUAUCUUGGCUCUCAGAUCGAUGAAGAACGCAGCGAAAUGCGAUACGUAGUGUGAAUUGCAGAAAUACGUGAAUCAUCGAAUCUUUGAACGCAAAUUGCGCUCGAGGCUUCGGCCAAGAGCAUGUCUGCCUCAGCGUCGGGUUAAAACACGCUCAAUCCAUUCAUGGGUAUGAUGCGGAACUGGCAGUCUCGGUAGCUUCGGUUGCUGGGUCUGCUGAAGUUUACAGCUGUUGCACAAGGACCUUCUAUGGGCCUCUACUGGGUAGGCAAACUUUUGCUAAAUGCUUUAGUAGAUGGCUUAGGAUCGUUGUGCUGACACUAAUCAGGAGCAUGCAUGCAUGCAAAACCCUUUUUCGACCUGAGCUCAGGCAAGA